This 125-nucleotide small RNA is filed under the name Marmota monax (woodchuck). Lineage: Eukaryota; Metazoa; Chordata; Mammalia; Rodentia; Sciuridae. The record is from RNAcentral.
GUCGGGCACGGUGGCGCACACCUGUAAUCCCAGCAGCUCAGGAGGCUGAGGCAGGAGAAUCGUGAGUUCAAAGCCAGACUCAACAACAGCAAGGCACUAAGCAACUCAGUGAGACCCUGUCUCUA